GAGGCUGAAACUCGCCUCUUUGAAGUCGGAAUCGCUAGUAAUCGCAGAUCAGCAUGUUGCGGUGAAUACGUUUCCUGGUCUUGUACACACCGCCCGUCAAACCAUGAGAGUCGCCAACACCCGAAGUCCGCUUUGCGGCCUAAGGUGGGGGAGAUGAUUGGGGUUAAGUCGUAACAAGGUAAC
RNAcentral lists this ribosomal RNA (183 nucleotides) under uncultured bacterium. RNAcentral's name for it is "partial 16S ribosomal RNA". It matches the Rfam family "Bacterial small subunit ribosomal RNA", at positions 1301 to 1500 of the family's 1533-position model. The record is from RNAcentral.